RNA transcript from Cinclus cinclus, 3074 nucleotides. It is a transcript of the gene named GTP binding elongation factor GUF1, with no coding region annotated. The transcript has 16 exons. The record is from RefSeq and is a predicted model, not a curated record. Lineage: Eukaryota; Metazoa; Chordata; Aves; Passeriformes; Cinclidae.
AGCUGCUGCCAGCGCCAUGGCCCUCGCCGGCCGGGCGGCGCUGCGCUGGGGGACACGGCUGCCGAGCCCCUGUCCUGCCGCUGUCCCGCUCUGCAGCCCGGCCUGGCUGCCCGCGGCCAGGUGCGAGCGGCCCUGCAGCUCCCGCGGCAAGGAAAAAUUAGAUAUGUCGACAUAUCCUGUUGAAAGCAUUAGAAACUUCAGUAUUAUAGCUCAUGUAGAUCAUGGCAAGAGUACACUAGCAGACAGAUUGCUGGAAAUUACAGGAACAAUUUCUAAAACUGACCGUAACAAACAAGUGCUGGAUAAACUUCAAGUGGAACGUGAAAGAGGAAUUACAGUAAAAGCCCAAUCUGCAUCUCUCUUUUACAAUCAUGAAGGAAUAAACUACCUCUUAAAUCUUAUUGACACGCCUGGCCACGUAGAUUUCAGCUAUGAAGUAUCGCGGUCAUUGUCUGCCUGUCAAGGGGUCAUACUUGUAGUGGAUGCAAAUGAGGGUAUUCAGGCCCAGACAGUGGCGAACUUCUAUCUUGCCUUUGAAGCACAGCUUUCAAUAAUUCCUGUUAUAAAUAAGAUUGACUUGAAAAAUGCAGACCCUGAAAGAGUUGAAAAACAGAUUGAGAAGCUUUUUGAUAUCUCUAGAGAUGAAUGUAUAAGGAUUUCUGCUAAACAAGGAACAAACGUUGAAAAAGUUCUUCAAAAGGUCAUUGAGAAGAUCCCACCACCCCAAUGUAAUACUGCUGAUCCACUGAAAGCCUUAGUAUUUGACUCUACCUUUGACCACUACCGAGGUGUCAUAGCUAACAUUGCGCUCUUUGGUGGGGAGAUUGCAAAAGGACAGAAAAUUGUGUCUGCUCACACAAAGAAAAGAUACGAAGUUAAUGAAGUUGGAAUUCUGACUCCAAAUGAACAGCCAGCACAUAAGCUCUAUGCAGGACAGGUGGGGUACCUGAUUGCUGGAAUGAAAGAAGUAACGGAAGCCCAAAUAGGAGACACACUGUUUUUGUAUAAACAGCCAGUGGAGCCUUUGCCUGGCUUUAAGUCAGCGAAGCCAAUGGUUUUUGCAGGAAUGUAUCCAAUAGAUCAAACAGAAUAUAAUAAUCUCAAAAGUGCUUUGGAAAGGCUGACAUUGAAUGACUCCAGUGUAACUGUUCACCGUGACAGUAGCCUUGCCUUAGGAGCUGGCUGGAGAUUGGGUUUCCUUGGUCUUCUACAUAUGGAAGUCUUUAAUCAACGUUUGGAGCAAGAGUAUAACAUGUCUGUUAUUUUGACUGCACCUACGGUUCCAUAUAAAGCUGUUCUUUCCUCAGCAAAGUUGAUAAAGGAGUAUGGAAAAGACCAGAUUACUAUUAUCAACCCUGCUCAGUUUCCUGAUAAACUUUCAGUAUCGGAAUAUUUGGAGCCAGUUGUUCUUGGUACUAUUGUAACACCUCAUGAAUAUAUUGGGAAAAUAAUUACCUUAUGUCAGGAUCGUCGGGCAGUCCAGAAAGAUAUGCUGUACAUUGAUGAAAACAGGGUUAUGCUAAAAUACCUCUUUCCAUUGAAUGAAAUUGUGGUGGAUUUUUAUGAUGCUCUUAAGUCUCUGUCUUCUGGCUAUGCAAGUUUUGAUUAUGAAGAUGCAGGUUACCAAUCAGCAGACCUAAUCAAAAUGGAUAUUCUUGUGAAUGGAAAUCCAGUUGAAGAACUGGCAACUAUCAUACACAACUUCAGUACUGAAAUUCAUGGAAUUCUGUAACAGCAGAAGGCUGACAUAGGAAGAUAAAUCCCUUGCCUUGUUCAGAAGGAUCAUGGGGCUGAAGGGGAGUAACUGUCUUGCAUACAAUUGGUAGUUAAUGCAUUUUUCAUAAGCAUGCAGUGUUUAGCUAUCUACCUGCAUCUCCUACUCUGAAAAGAUGCAAAAUGGAGUGGGCCGCCUUGCACGAGUUAGUUAUUGCUUUAACAUGUAUUUUUUGAUCGAUUUAGCCCAUGCCCUGAACUAUUUAACUCACUAAAACUGGCAGCCUUUCUUUUGGCUUUAGAUUUCAGUUAGGGUUGUUUUUUGUUUUUUUUUUUUUUAAACUUGUAGUUGCAUUCAUUCUGCUCUUGUUGUAGGUAUUCUCAGUAUUCCCACUGUGAAAACUGCAUCUGUAAGAAUUACACUGAAUUACUUUUAUAAAGAAAGCAUUACAGAGAUUACAGUAAGAUCAGUAUUAAUAGUCAUCAUUUGUUCCUACUGUACAAGUAAAUAUAUGUACCUCUUCAAAAUGUAACACUCGAUGAACAUGACUAAAGUACUUCAUAUUUAAACUGUUUGCUCUAUACAGGUAGCAAAAGGAGUCACUUUGUCACUACCUGAAAAUGUGCAUGUUGGUAAAAAAUAUCUGUUAAAUUUGGGUAUUUUUAUAGAGAAUAUGGAGAACAGACCUAUUCCUUUCUAAUGGCUUAUGAAAGUAACUGUUGGUAGCUUCUUUAGACCUUUUGUUAUUUUCUUUUUCCAAAACCUGAAGCAUAUGCAGAUGCUGAAUAUGGUUGCAUAAUUUUUAUUAGCAGAUGAGUAUGUUAGUUUAUUUUUUUCUUGUGAUGUAAAACCAGACUUGGAAAGCAUUCUUUAAUAUGCAUACUUUGACCGCUUGGGCCUACGAUCAAUGAAAAUUCUCCUUGACCUAGUUUAAAAUUUCACUUGAAACUGUGGCAGUAUACAAAAUGUCUUCAGUGGCAUGAAUAGUCAGGGUGUUUUUUAUAAAUACUUUAUAUGAUGUUGUAUACUGAGGUAAAUACAGUCUUAUCACUUGGUAGUAUGAAAGAGAUGACAUACAGAGACCACUUAUUAGAUGUAAGAUUUGAUCUGAUCAGAUUAUCUUCCGAGUUAAGAAGAGGAAAGCCUCUACUAAAAUACUUCAGGUCAGUUUGAUCUAUGGAUAUAUUUUUAGUGUUGCUGACCUUUUAUUUCAGGGAUAAAGCACAUGCUGCUGGCAAACUCCUGUGUGAACGUUUAAAAGAGACUAUUCCUAGACAGUUGUUUGAAAUAGCCAUCCAGGCUGCCAUUGGCAAGAAAAUCAUUGCAAGAGAAACGCUGAAAGCUUACAGAAAAAAUGUGG